UCGCUUUGGCAGCGCACGUACUAAAACUGGAGCGAUGCAGAGAAGAGUAGCAUGGCCCCUGCACAAGGAUGACUCGCAAAUUCGUGAAGCCUUCCUAUUUUUG
Molecule: small nuclear RNA, 103 nt
Organism: Leptonychotes weddellii (Weddell seal)
Lineage: Eukaryota; Metazoa; Chordata; Mammalia; Carnivora; Phocidae
Source: RefSeq, a predicted model, not a curated record